Molecule: ribosomal RNA, 497 nt
Filed under: uncultured bacterium
Lineage: Bacteria
Description: partial 16S ribosomal RNA
Rfam family: Bacterial small subunit ribosomal RNA
Source: RNAcentral
GAUGAACGCUGGCGGCGUGCCUAAUACAUGCAAGUCGAGCGAACGGACGAGGAGCUUGCUUCUCUGACGUUAGCGGCGGACGGGUGAGUCACACGUGGAUAACCUACCUAUAAGACUGGGAUAACUUCGGGAAACCGGAGCUAAUACCGGAUAAUAUAUUGAACCGCAUGGUUCAACAGUGAAAGACGGUUUUGCUGUCACUUAUAGAUGGAUCCGCGCUGCAUUAGCUAGUUGGUAAGGUAACGGCUUACCAAGGCAACGAUGCGUAGCCGACCUGAGAGGGUGAUCGGCCACACUGGAACUGAGACACGGUCCAGACUCCUACGGGAGGCAGCAGUAGGGAAUCUUCCGCAAUGGGCGAAAGCCUGACGGAGCAACGCCGCGUGAGUGAUGAAGGUCUUCGGAUCGUAAAACUCUGUUAUUAGGGAAGAACAUAUGUGUAAGUAACUGUGCACGUCUUGACGGUACCUAAUCAGAAAGCCACGGCUAACUACGUG